AACGCUAGCUACAGGCUUAACACAUGCAAGUCGAGGGGAAACGAUAUUGGAAGCUUGCUUCCGAUAGGCGUCGACCGGCGCACGGGUGAGUAACGCGUAUCCAACCUGCCCAUCACUUGGGGAUAACCUUGCGAAAGUAAGACUAAUACCCUAUGAUUUCCUUUGAUGACAUCAGAUUAGGAAUAAAGAUUUAUCGGUUAUAGAUGGGGAUGCGUCUGAUUAGCUUGUUGGCGGGGUAACGGCCCACCAAGGCAACGAUCAGUAGGGGUUCUGAGAGGAAGGUCCCCCACAUUGGAACUGAGACACGGUCCAAACUCCUACGGGAGGCAGCAGUGAGGAAUAUUGGUCAAUGGGCGAUGGCCUGAACCAGUCAAGUAGCGUGAAGGAUGACUGCCCUAUGGGUUGUAAACUUCUUUUAUAAAGGAAUAAAGUCGGGUAUGCAUACCCGUUUGCAUGUACUUUAUGAAUAAGGAUCGGCUAACUCCGUGCCAGCAGCCGCGGUAAUACGGAGGAUCCGAGCGUUAUCCGGAUUUAUUGGGUUUAAAGGGAGCGUAGAUGGAUGUUUAAGUCAGUUGUGAAAGUUUGCGGCUCAACCGUAAAAUUGCAGUUGAUACUGGAUGUCUUGAGUGCAGUUGAGGCAGGCGGAAUUCGUGGUGUAGCGGUGAAAUGCUUAGAUAUCACGAAGAACUCCGAUUG
This 696-nucleotide ribosomal RNA is filed under the name uncultured bacterium. Its description in RNAcentral is "bacterial SSU rRNA". It matches the Rfam family "Bacterial small subunit ribosomal RNA", at positions 32 to 715 of the family's 1533-position model. The record is from RNAcentral.